Molecule: long non-coding RNA, 2306 nt
Organism: Equus caballus (horse)
Lineage: Eukaryota; Metazoa; Chordata; Mammalia; Perissodactyla; Equidae
Source: Ensembl
CUCCUUCCUCCUGAAACUACUCAUUAUCCACGCCUCUCUUCCCCCCCCCGGAGACUUCCGACCACCUCCUUCCUCCUGGGUCUGAUGGGCAUUGUCUCUUUAUGUUGUAGAUGUGUGUUCAUCCCACCCUCUAGGCUGGGAGCUCUGCCAGGUGAGGGCCGAUGACUGUCUUAUUCUCAGGUUCCCACUAUCAACUACAGUGUUUGGCAUGCAGAAGCUCAAUAAAUGUUUGUUUCAAUGAAAUGGAAACAGAGCUAUUUAGGGCAUGCUGGUAAUGGAAAUAACCCAGCUUGAAAGAUGCUCUGCGCUAGGUUGCAACCACAGGCAGUUCCAGGCUUACUUAGAAGCCCUGAAUUUACCAUCAGCUUCUAGCCAGGGCUACUAGUUACUGGCUGCUCUGGAGGCCACCCCAUGAUUGCCAUGGGAACCAGCCACUCACAAAGCCUCUGGGGCCCCUGCUCUCUGUGAGCCUUCUCAGAUGCUGCCUUGGGAACUGCACAGGUGCUGGCACCUCCAGCCAGUCAACUCCUUAGAGUGACCUUGGGCCAGAAGAUGGGGGCAGGGCCUCAGUGGGGACAGAACCACCCCACCUACAGCUGCUUUUAUAAAUGGAGAAAUGCAUUCAAAGUUCCAAAGCAACCAGCCAGUGUGUGGGGCCUUCUUGGAAGCCAAAUGAAGAAAAUCUUUCAAGAGAAGAAAGUGGUCAAACCAUGCCAAGUAAAUGUUCCUCUACCAGGAAAAAAAAUCUAAAUAUUACCCCAUCCCCAUUUUCCAACACUAUAAAUUGUGAGGCCAUCACAAAACUUGGUCCACUCAUCACUGCCGUAUCUCUUCAGUCUCUCCAGGAGGAAAUACGACAUCCACGGAAGCCUCUGCCACAUCCAAAGAAGGAAUUAAUCCAUCAGUACUCAUUGAGUGUCUACUAUAGUCACAGCACUCUGCUCCUGGUUGAAAAUAUACAAGAGAAAGAUUAAAAGACCCAGUUCAAUACGUCUGUCUGCGGAAGGGGAAAUGAAGCAUCUGCUUGGUGCCUCCAUUAGGAAGAUGACUUACGACAGGCAGCUGUCAGGCAAGGCGUCUGCAUUCUGACGGAGCCGGCUAGACCAUGGAGCUGAAAGCCUUCAAGAAGCCAAUGAAAGUCCCAGAACCUUAGCCCAGCCCUUCCCCACCCGCUCCCCCAGAAGCAACGUGAACAUGGGUGCCCACAUACACACAACUGUGAGAAUAAUUUCAGCGUUUUCGAGCUUCCUCACCCCCAAGGUCCAGACCCGGAUGCCACAUCUAUCAGUUCUGAGCUGUGUGAUGUGGGUGGAAUUACUCGCUGUCCUCCUUUGUAAGAUGGGCAUGCACGAACCACACCCAGCUCAUGGGUUUGUUCUGAAGAUGACAUGAGCAGCUGGAGCUGGAGCCCUGGGCACGGCACCUUGCCCAUACUGGGAGCUGGUCAUUAUUAGCUGGUAUUCUCAUGCCCAGGCCAGGAGUUUAAGAUUCCCCAGUCAAAGAGAAUAAUAUAGGUACUUUACAGUUGAUCAGUGCCAAUUUUUCUUUGAAAUCUACCUUACAGGUUUUCUGGAGUAAUGGUUCAGAGUAUGGAUUUACUUUAUAAUAUCGAUAAUUUACUUUAAAAUGGUUUGACUUUGAGCAAGGGAACACUGAGUUUGUAUUAGCUGGAGCCUCCAGGGUGGUCAGCUGGUGUUAUAUCACAAAGACGUCAGGUCUUCAGAUCACUGAGGCUUUGAAAAUUAACAUCGUGAGCGUCAGAAGUGAGUUUUACUGGUGAAAUGAGAGGCUUGCUAGUCUACAUGAUGAAUAUCGGACAUAGGCUCUCGAUGGCAAAAUCAAAGGUAUUCGAGUGUGGAGGGCUGGGUAAACAUUGUAAAGGCGCUCCCCACGUGUGCAUGAGGCGCUGUAGGAAUCCAGUGAGGCCUGUGGCCAUGGCCACAGGGACGGCACCGAAUGUUGCUGUUGCUUCUGUGAACUUUUCAGACAAGAGGUAGACCCAUCAAGCUCACAGCCGUGUGAACUGUCCUGGGCUUGCUUUCUCAAGGAAUGUUGGCUUAAUAAAAGGCCUGUGUUUGUGGCCGAACUUGGUCUGAGAAUUGCUUUCUUCAUAACGUGAUAAUGAGGUCUGAGUGCAUAACUAACUCUCACCCACCUUAAACAUCUCAGUGCCGUCCUAUACCCCAAACCCAAGAGCUGUGCUUGGACCUAUUUAAUAAAGUCACAACAGCUUUAAGACAAGAUGGACUCGAAUUUGGAUCCCAUGUAUGCUGCUUCCUAGCUCUUAGACCUUGGGCAAAUGUCCU